UACGUAGGGUGCGAGCGUUGUCCGGAUUUAUUGGGCGUAAAGAGCUCGUAGGCGGCUUGUCGCGUCGACCGUGAAAACCCGCAGCUCAACUGCGGGCUUGCGGUCGAUACGGGCAGGCUCGAGUUCGGUAGGGGAGACUGGAAUUCCUGGUGUAGCGGUGAAAUGCGCAGAUAUCAGGAGGAACACCGGUGGCGAAGGCGGGUCUCUGGGCCGAUACUGACGCUGAGGAGCGAAAGCGUGGGGAGCGAACAGG
This 253-nucleotide ribosomal RNA is filed under the name uncultured bacterium. Its description in RNAcentral is "partial 16S ribosomal RNA". It matches the Rfam family "Bacterial small subunit ribosomal RNA", at positions 524 to 776 of the family's 1533-position model. The record is from RNAcentral.